AAGGGCUUAGCUUAAGUUAAAGCGUCUGUUUUGCAUUCAGAAGAUGUGGGGUUAGUUCUGCAGUCCUUA
Molecule: transfer RNA, 69 nt
Filed under: Petrodromus tetradactylus (four-toed elephant shrew)
Lineage: Eukaryota; Metazoa; Chordata; Mammalia; Macroscelidea; Macroscelididae
Description: tRNA-Ala
Rfam family: tRNA
About the family: Transfer RNA (tRNA) molecules are approximately 80 nucleotides in length. Their secondary structure includes four short double-helical elements and three loops (D, anti-codon, and T loops). Further hydrogen bonds mediate the characteristic L-shaped molecular structure. tRNAs have two regions of fundamental functional importance: the anti-codon, which is responsible for specific mRNA codon recognition, and the 3' end, to which the tRNAs corresponding amino acid is attached (by aminoacyl-tRNA synthetases). tRNAs cope with the degeneracy of the genetic code in two manners: having more than one tRNA (with a specific anti-codon) for a particular amino acid; and 'wobble' base-pairing, i.e. permitting non-standard base-pairing at the 3rd anti-codon position.
Source: RNAcentral